GAUGAAGAACGUAGCGAAAUGCGAUAAGUAAUGUGAAUUGCAGAAUUCAGUGAAUCAUCGAAUCUUUGAACGCACCUUGCGCCCUUUGGCUAUUCCGAAGGGCAUGCCUGUUUGAGUAUCAUGAACACCUCAACUCUCAUGGCUUGCCAUGAAGAGCUUGGACUAUGGGGGUCUUGCUGGCCUGUGGUCGGCUCCUCUCAAAUGAAUCAGCUUGCCGGUGUUUGGUGGCGUCACAGGUGUGAUAACUAUCUACACUUGUGGUGUUUUCCACCAGGUAACCUUCAGCAAUGGAGGUUCGCUGGGGCUCAUAAAAGUCUCUCCUCGGUGAGGACAGCUCUUUUUGAACGUUUGAUCUCACAUCAGGUAGGACUACCCGCUGAACUUAAGCAUAUCAAUAAGCGGAGGA
Molecule: unclassified non-coding RNA, 406 nt
Filed under: soil metagenome
Description: partial contains 5.8S ribosomal RNA, internal transcribed spacer 2, and large subunit ribosomal RNA
Rfam family: 5.8S ribosomal RNA (bases 1-121)
Source: RNAcentral